This 493-nucleotide ribosomal RNA is filed under the name uncultured bacterium. RNAcentral's name for it is "partial 16S ribosomal RNA". It matches the Rfam family "Bacterial small subunit ribosomal RNA", at positions 28 to 507 of the family's 1533-position model. The record is from RNAcentral.
GACGAACGCUGGCGGCGUGCUUAACACAUGCAAGUCGAACGGUGAAGGGACCGGUUUUUGCUGGUUCUGGAUGAGGGGGGAACGGGUGAGUAACACGUGAGAAACCUGCCCCCUUCUUCUGGAUAACCGCAUGAAAGGGUGGCUAAUACGGGAUAUUCUUGGCCUGCUGCAUGGAGGGGGUGGGAAAGAUAUUGUUUCGGUGGGUGAUGGGCUCGCGGCCUAUCGGCUUGGUGGGGGGGGGAUGGGCUACAAAGGCGGUGACGGGGAGGCGGCCUGAGAGGGUGGACGGUCACACUGGGACUGAGACACGGCCCAGACUCAUACGGGGGGCAACAGUGGGGAAUAUUGCAAAGUGGGCGAGAGUCUGAUGCAGCGUCGCCGCGUGAGGGAUGGAUGCCUUCGGCUUGUAAACCUCUUUCGCCAGUGAAGCAAGCCUGUCACUUUUGUGGGUGGGUUGACGGUAGCUGGAUAAGAAGCGCCGGCUAACUACGUG